RNA transcript from Camelus dromedarius (Arabian camel), 4459 nucleotides. It is a transcript of the gene named exoribonuclease 1, with no coding region annotated. Lineage: Eukaryota; Metazoa; Chordata; Mammalia; Artiodactyla; Camelidae. The record is from RefSeq and is a predicted model, not a curated record. The transcript has 9 exons.
GGUGUUUGCUCGAGUUUGUGUGGCCGCCGCCGCGGGAACGCGAGCCCGGUAAUUUUUCAGCGGAGAAAGGCGAGGCUUUCGGGCUUGGCCGAGUGAGAGUGAGUGAGUGGAGCGCUCUAGCAGCUCUCUUCUUCCGUGACACCCGUCAUGGAGGAUGAGCAGAGCCACCAGCCCGGCGGCGAGGCCGUGGCUCCCGCGCGGCACCGGUCGCCGGGGUCGGAGUGCGGGGAGGAGCCGCAGCAUCAGAAUCCUGAGAAAAAGCAGCGAUGUAGACUUGAUGGACAAGAAACAAAAGGAUCUAAGUUCAUUACCUCCAAUGCAAGUGAUUUCAGUGACCCAGUCUACAAAGAGAUUGCUAUUACGAAUGGUUUCAUUAAUAGAAUGAGUAAGGAAGAGCUCAGAGCUAAACUUUCAGAGUUCAAGCUUGAAACCAGAGGUGUAAAGGAUGUACUAAAGAAGAGACUGAAAAACUAUUACAAGAAGCAGAAGCUGAUGUUGAAAGAGGACAAUUGUGUUGACAGUUACUAUGACUACAUUUGUAUUAUUGACUUCGAAGCCACUUGUGAAGAGGGUAACCCGCCUGAGUUCAUACAUGAAAUAAUUGAAUUUCCUGUUGUUUUACUGAACACUCAUACCUUAGAAAUAGAAGAUACAUUUCAGCAGUAUGUGAGACCAGAGAUCAACACACAGCUUUCUGACUUCUGCAUCAAUCUAACUGGAAUUACUCAGGAUCAGGUAGACAAGGCUGAUACCUUCCCUCAGGUACUGAAAAAAGUCAUUGACUGGAUGAAAUUGAAGGAAUUAGGAACAAAGUAUAAAUAUUCCAUAUUAACAGAUGGUUCAUGGGAUAUGAGUAAGUUUCUGAACAUUCAGUGCCGGCUAAGCAGGCUCAAAUACCCACCUUUUGCCAAAAAGUGGAUCAAUAUUCGAAAGUCAUAUGGAAACUUUUACAAGGUUCCUAGAAGCCAAACCAAAUUGACAAUAAUGCUUGAAAAACUAGGAAUGGAUUAUGAUGGGCGACCUCACAGUGGUCUUGAUGACUCUAAGAACAUUGCCCGAAUAGCAGUUCGAAUGCUUCAGGAUGGAUGUGAACUCCGGGUUAAUGAGAAAAUCCAUGCAGGACAGCUAAUGAGUGUGUCCUCUUCACUACCAAUAGAGGGCACUCCAGCUCCACAAAUGCCGCAUUCUAGAAAAUAACAGCAUUUUUGCCCUUUUGCCUGUGGAUCAUUCACUCUAACUGGAGUUGCUACAAAGAGAGUCUGCAUAUAAGUGAUACCGUACAGUAUUUGUUUUCUCCAUCUGGCUUAUUUCACUUAAACCUCCAGGGUCAUCCACAUUGCCGCAAAUGCGCAGUUGAGAAAACAGAAGUCAACUAUCUUGUUCAUGGUCACAAAGCUAGUAUGCGGGAAAGCCAGUAAUUGAAUCCACCUCCCUCUGACCUGGAGCCUGACUGUUAUUGGCCUCGGGGAAGGACCACAGGGAAAAUCAACAGAGGGAGGAAAAUAAAAAGUUAGCCUUUCACUAAAGCAAUCAUUCUCAGCCUUGCCUGCUCAUCGGAACCAUCUGGGAAGCUUUAAAGAUUAUGGACUCCAGGCUCUCACCUCUGGAGACACUGAUUUAAAUGGAUUUGGGGAGCAGCCUGGACUUAGGGAUUUGUUUUUAAAGACUGAGAACCACUGCAUUAGAGGAAACAGUGAUGGGAAUUCAAUAAUUAAAAUUACAUGUCAACACUGAUUUGAGGGUGUCAAAGGUAGGAAUUUGCCUCGUGGCAAAUUACUCAACUGAUGAUAUAAAAAAACGUCCUUUAAGAAAGAGAAAGAAACAGCAAAACUGCUCCUGUAGCUCUGGUGCAAGGUGAUGAAGACUUUUUCCCCUUCUUUCUCCCUCAUGGCUCAGCUAUGAACUUGAGAGCAUGUGGUGGUCACUGAUUUGAUGGGGCUGAUGUAGAGAACAGCUCACUUGUAGAGGAGACGGGGAAGGACAUAGGGAAACUAAACUGGGAAUCAGGGCCCUGUGAUUGCAUUUUUAAUGUACCUGGUCCAGGACCGGAAUUGGGUGGGGACCGUGAGGUGCUCAACCUCGGGCACAAAUUUAAGAGGACUCAAAAAAAAAAAAAAAAAAAAAAAAGGAAACAAAACCCCACCAAAACCCCUCAACCAUCAAGAUAAUUUAGUGCCAUAUUAAAAAUAAAAAUUAAUGCAAAAAACAUCCAUGGUAAAUGAAAUGUCAAGAAUUUAAAUACAGACAGGAUCCGACAGGGCUGGGAAUGGGGCUGGGGUGAGGGAAGUGGGCUGUGUGGUGCAAGUAUGUGGUUGGAUCUCCUGUCUUUAUUUAAAAUGGAUUUUUUUGCGUUAAUUUUGAUUUUUAAAAAUACUGCAGGCAAGCAUUAUUUGUCUUGUGCCCUAUAGCGAGCCCCAGUGAACAUUCCCUCGAGGAGAGUAAAUGACUUUUUUUUUGGCUUAUUCAGAUCCUUCUGAGUUGAGGGAAGGGAAUAUCACAAAAGCAUCAGAAUAUUAGCCUCCAAGAGGCCUGAUGGGAUUUCCUGCAUCAUAGUGAAGGCUUCAGCAGAGAAAUGACCUCAUCAUUCAGAGCCAGCAGGUGAGAAGAGAGAGUAGAAAACCAUGCAGGGAGAGGGGAGGGAGGGUAGGCUGAGUGCAGGACCAGCCCGUGUCAUGAAGGGCAGCCCUGGAGUCCCUAUCUCUGUUGAUUCAUUAGGCUGGGAUGUGGUCUGGGCCCAAACACACAACUAAAACUGUUACCUUGGUAUGUUAACCCAUUUAGCACUCAGUUCCCUUAUCUGUAAAACGGAGCCAAUAAUAGACAUUCCUCAUGGGGAUGUUUUAAAGAGAGAUGACCUAAUACAUAGCCAUGUGGUCUUGGACAAGUUUCUUAGCUCUUCAUGCCUCAGUUUGGCUCACCUAUGAAAUGGGAAUAAUACAGCACCUGCCCAAGGGUUGUUGUGAGGAUUAAAUGGUUAAUGUCUAUAAUGCAUCUAAAAUAGGGUACUACUGAAUGCUUUGUAAUUGUUUGCUAACUAAAGAUUAAAAUGAUGCCUGGCAUAUAGUAAUUUUUAAUAAGUGUUAGAAAUUUUAAUUAUUUUCUGCUUAUGUGACCCCCUCUCCCUCCAUCUCUCCAACUGCAGUGAUUGAUCAGGGAGUAAGAAUCUGGAGCCCAAGAUUUGGGUAUUUCUAACUGUUAGGAUGGGAUGGUGGGAAGACUCUUUCUCCCUGUAGUCCCAAAGUUAUUGCUGCAAAGUCAGGGAAGAAGCUAAUCAGCAGUAGGAGAGAAGAAAGCUAACAAAAAUAAAUUUUUUUUAAAAAGCAAACAAAAAUAAUAUUUGAAAGGAGGGGAGCAGAGAGAGGGAAAAAGACAGACACAGAGAGAUAGACAGUGACAGUCAGAGACAGACCUAAUGGUAUUAGAGACAUGGUUCCCAUGUCUGGAGUCCCAGAAGUUUCUUGGUUUUCUGUCCUUCUGAUCAUGGUUGAAUAAAGAGCUCUUCUUUCUGUUCUGUGAGCUACUUUUAAAUAUAUAUUUCUCAAUAAAUCUAAGCAAGUUUUAGUCAGGUUUCUGUCUCUUGCUAUCAAAAGAAUCUGGAAGAACACCACUUGAUUGGGAACAGUCACCUCCUAUUCUUUAUCUAAUGGGUCUCUUUCUGAUCCUUCGGUCUUCUGAGAUCCCAUGAACGCUUCCUCAGUAACACCAGCAGCAUUCUGGCAUAUGUGGUGUACACCAGCACUGUCAGCUACUUAGCUGAGAAAAACUUAGUGCCAUCACACUGAAGUGCAUUCUUUGCACAAAGAAUUGUGUAAAGCAUUGCACAGUGGUAGGAACCUGGGUCAUAUUUGUCAGGGAAGUAUGUUAACUUCGGGGUACAGUUUAGAAAACUGAAGUAAAGAGAUUUCAUCAGAAAACACAUUUCAGAGCUGUGGCAUAAUAAAAAAUAAAUAUUUGGUCUUUAUCCCAGGUUCUUGGCACAGAAAAUCCCAAAACUCCUUGGGAUUUUCUGAGUGAUAGUAUUAUUUUGUGUUAUGAAUAACAAGCUCCUUUCUAACCGAAUCUAAGUUGAUGUUAAUGAGAUGACAAACGGUGGGACCCUCAGAUAGAUUCAAGGGAGGGGCUGACCACAACAGAAAGACCCAAUGUGAGGUUAGAGGGUUAGAGUUUUCAUCCUCACCCUCAACCUCCAGCGAGAAGAGAAGGGUUGGAGAUUGAGUUCCACCACUAAUGAAUAGAGAUUUAAUCAAUGGUGCCUAAGUAAUGAAACCUUGAUAAAAACUCUUGAACAAUGAGGUUCUGAGAAGCUUCCAGGCUGGUGAACUCAUCAUGGUUCUGGGACAGUGGAGCACCCAGGAGGGCAUGGGAGCUCUGUGCCCUGACCCCUACCCAACCCCUUGCCCUAUGGAUCUCUUUCAUUUCGCUGUUUUUGAGUUUUAUAAUAAAACUGAUUGUAAAUAUA